UACAGGGGGUGCAAGCGUUGUUCGGAAUUACUGGGCGUAAAGGGCGCGUAGGCGGUUUAGUAAGUCAGAUGUGAAAGCCCGGGGCUCAACUCCGGAAUUGCAUUUGAAACUGCUAGGCUAGAGUGCAGUAGAGGAUGGCGGAAUACCUAGUGGAGAGGUGAAAUUCGUAGAUAUUAGGUGGAACACCGGUGGCGAAGGCGGCCAUCUGGGCUGUAACUGACGCUGAGGCGCGAGAGCGUGGGGAGCAAACAGG
RNAcentral lists this ribosomal RNA (253 nucleotides) under uncultured bacterium. RNAcentral describes it as "partial 16S ribosomal RNA". It matches the Rfam family "Bacterial small subunit ribosomal RNA", at positions 524 to 776 of the family's 1533-position model. The record is from RNAcentral.